RNAcentral lists this ribosomal RNA (852 nucleotides) under Wolbachia endosymbiont of Xylosandrus germanus. RNAcentral's name for it is "bacterial SSU rRNA". It matches the Rfam family "Bacterial small subunit ribosomal RNA", at positions 93 to 983 of the family's 1533-position model. Lineage: Bacteria; Pseudomonadati; Pseudomonadota; Alphaproteobacteria; Rickettsiales; Anaplasmataceae. The record is from RNAcentral.
UAGUGGCAGACGGGUGAGUAAUAUAUAGGAAUCUACCUAGUAGUACGGAAUAAUUGUUGGAAACGGCAACUAAUACCGUAUAUGCCCUACGGGGGAAAAAUUUAUUGCUAUUAGAUGAGCCUAUAUUAGAUUAGCUAGUUGGUGGAGUAAUAGCCUACCAAGGCAAUGAUCUAUAGCUGAUCUGAGAGGAUGAUCAGCCACACUGGAACUGAGAUACGGUCCAGACUCCUACGGGAGGCAGCAGUGGGGAAUAUUGGACAAUGGGCGAAAGCCUGAUCCAGCCAUGCCGCAUGAGUGAAGAAGGCCUUUGGGUUGUAAAGCUCUUUUAGUGAGGAAGAUAAUGACGGUACUCGCAGAAGAAGUCCUGGCUAACUCCGUGCCAGCAGCCGCGGUAAUACGGAGAGGGCUAGCGUUAUUCGGAAUUAUUGGGCGUAAAGGGCGCGUAGGCUGGUUAGUAAGUUAAAAGUGAAAUCCCGAGGCUUAACCUUGGAACUGCUUUUAAAACUGCUAACCUAGAGAUUGAAAGAGGAUAGAGGAAUUCCUAGUGUAGAGGUGAAAUUCGUAAAUAUUAGGAGGAACACCAGUGGCGAAGGCGUCUAUCUGGUUCAAAUCUGACGCUGAGGCGCGAAGGCGUGGGGAGCAAACAGGAUUAGAUACCCUGGUAGUCCACGCUGUAAACGAUGAAUGUUAAAUAUGGGAAGUUUACUUUCUGUAUUACAGCUAACGCGUUAAACAUUCCGCCUGGGGACUACGGUCGCAAGAUUAAAACUCAAAGGAAUUGACGGGGACCCGCACAAGCGGUGGAGCAUGUGGUUUAAUUCGAUGCAACGCGAAAAACCUUACCACUCCUUG